ACAUAUUAUGAGCAUCACUUAUUAUUUCACCUCAUUUUACAUGCGUAUCAAAUUGAAUACCCAUUUUCAAACUCUCCCAUGAACAAAAAUUCAACCCAAUAAAAUAUUUAGUGUUUUAUCGGUAACAAAAUUAAUCUUUAUGCAAAAACAUAGAAUCAACCUUUAACAAUAAAACAUUAGAAUCAUUAAGAUCAGUAAUUCCAUUGAUCAAAUUAACUUUUAAACUGACAACAAAAAGAUGUAGCAAAGAAAAAAAAUGGAAACCCUUACCUCGAUCAACCUUCCACACUUCAGGUACAUUUUAAGAAACCCUAUAUUAUAAAAGUCAAAAAGUGACUUUUUUUUGGAGCCGAGAUUUUUGGCUUUCGACUUCUGAAAGAAGCUGCUUCUCCUCAUUAAUUGUGUCCUAAUUUUUCCUUCCCUCCACUUUCCUCGGUAUCUUCUUCCUUCUUCUUCUUCCCUUUUUUUCAGAUUCAGAAUAGCUGUGAGAGAAGAAUUACAAGCUCUGAAACAAGAACUAGGAUUAAUUAUGGCUUCAAGUUCAAGCCAAGCUGCAAUGCCUUCUUUUGAAGAAGCUAAAGAGGUUCCUGCCAGUUGUCUCUUGUUCAUGAAUCAUUUUUCAUAGAUCUGAAGAUAGUUAAGGUUCAAGCAAGUGGUGAAGAUAGGCAAUUGGGAGUAUUCUCAAAACAUGAUUGGACUGAGGUUUCAUGGAAGCAAUCAGGGAUCCACAAUCAAAGUUCCCCCACCCCCUGAAGAUGAGGAAAAUACUAUGUGGUAGACUCGGGAUACUCUAAUAUGCUGGGAUAUUUAGCUCCAUAUAGAGGAGAGCGGUACCAUCUCAAUGAUUAUCAAGCAAUCAGGGUACCUUGUAGUGCUAGGGGAAAAUUUAACAAUGCACACUCGUCGUUCCGUAAUGUGAUUGAACGGUGUUUUGGUACUCAAAGCUUGCUUUCCUAUUUUGAAGAUGAUGUCGUCUUACAGCUUGCGUAAGCAAAGGAAUAUCGUUAUAGCUUCAUGCGCAAUACAUAAAGAAGACGAUGUGAUGUGGAUUCUUACCAAGAUGGGGUUCGCCUAGGCAUGUCCAUGUAUUGCCGUCUUCCAUUAUGAAAAAUGUGUAUUAAAUUUCGGAAUUUUAAACCAUCCCAUACUAGUACAAGUGCAAAACCAUUAUGCUUGGUUUUUAUGGAAUAUAAAAGUUUUCUUUUUUAAGGAUUACUGCAA
Long non-coding RNA from Papaver somniferum (opium poppy), 1221 nucleotides. RefSeq lists it as uncharacterized. The transcript has 3 exons. NCBI's taxonomy places the organism in Eukaryota, Viridiplantae, Streptophyta, Magnoliopsida, Ranunculales, Papaveraceae. The record is from RefSeq and is a predicted model, not a curated record.